AGCCCUGAGGUGUAAGCAUAUAUGAUUGCAAAUCAUAAGUAGCAGGUUUACGUCUGCCGGGGCUU
Molecule: transfer RNA, 65 nt
Filed under: Aphyosemion coeleste (sky-blue killifish)
Lineage: Eukaryota; Metazoa; Chordata; Actinopteri; Cyprinodontiformes; Nothobranchiidae
Description: tRNA-Cys
Rfam family: tRNA
About the family: Transfer RNA (tRNA) molecules are approximately 80 nucleotides in length. Their secondary structure includes four short double-helical elements and three loops (D, anti-codon, and T loops). Further hydrogen bonds mediate the characteristic L-shaped molecular structure. tRNAs have two regions of fundamental functional importance: the anti-codon, which is responsible for specific mRNA codon recognition, and the 3' end, to which the tRNAs corresponding amino acid is attached (by aminoacyl-tRNA synthetases). tRNAs cope with the degeneracy of the genetic code in two manners: having more than one tRNA (with a specific anti-codon) for a particular amino acid; and 'wobble' base-pairing, i.e. permitting non-standard base-pairing at the 3rd anti-codon position.
Source: RNAcentral